CUUGAGUCAUUUGCCCUCUCUGA
RNAcentral lists this non-coding RNA (23 nucleotides) under Rattus norvegicus (Norway rat). Lineage: Eukaryota; Metazoa; Chordata; Mammalia; Rodentia; Muridae. The record is from RNAcentral.